Molecule: ribosomal RNA, 45 nt
Filed under: Macrophomina phaseolina
Lineage: Eukaryota; Fungi; Ascomycota; Dothideomycetes; Botryosphaeriales; Botryosphaeriaceae
Description: partial 28S ribosomal RNA
Source: RNAcentral
AAGGUUGACCUCGGAUCAGGUAGGGAUACCCGCUGAACUUAAGCA